RNAcentral lists this microRNA precursor (100 nucleotides) under Caenorhabditis briggsae. Its description in RNAcentral is "pre miRNA CBG29751". The stretch from base 11 to 83 matches the Rfam family "let-7 microRNA precursor family". Rfam says of the family: This family represents the microRNAs (miRNA) let-7 and mir-98. let-7 was identified from a study of developmental timing in C. elegans, and was later shown to be part of a much larger class of non-coding RNAs termed miRNAs. The extents of the hairpin precursors are not generally known and are estimated based on hairpin prediction. Lineage: Eukaryota; Metazoa; Nematoda; Chromadorea; Rhabditida; Rhabditidae. The record is from RNAcentral.
UACACUGGGGUACGGUGAGGUAGUAGGUUGUAUAGUUUAGAAUAUUACUCUCGGUGAACUAUGCAAGUUUCUACCUCACCGAAUACCAGGUUCUCAACUG